GCCAAUGUGGUAUAGUGGUUUAAGCACUAGACUACUUCUCUGGAGAUUAGGGUUCGAUUCCCCACUUGGCCA
Molecule: non-coding RNA, 72 nt
Organism: Phrynosoma platyrhinos (Desert horned lizard)
Lineage: Eukaryota; Metazoa; Chordata; Lepidosauria; Squamata; Phrynosomatidae
Source: the annotation of a GenBank genome assembly